This 621-nucleotide ribosomal RNA is filed under the name Bacillus sp. 21Vb. Its description in RNAcentral is "bacterial SSU rRNA". It matches the Rfam family "Bacterial small subunit ribosomal RNA", at positions 93 to 700 of the family's 1533-position model. The record is from RNAcentral. Lineage: Bacteria; Bacillati; Bacillota; Bacilli; Caryophanales; Bacillaceae.
UAGCGGCGGACGGGUGAGUAACACGUGGGUAACCUGCCUGUAAGACUGGGAUAACUCCGGGAAACCGGAGCUAAUACCGGAUAGUUCCUUGAACCGCAUGGUUCAAGGAUGAAAGACGGUUUCGGCUGUCACUUACAGAUGGACCCGCGGCGCAUUAGCUAGUUGGUGAGGUAACGGCUCACCAAGGCGACGAUGCGUAGCCGACCUGAGAGGGUGAUCGGCCACACUGGGACUGAGACACGGCCCAGACUCCUACGGGAGGCAGCAGUAGGGAAUCUUCCGCAAUGGACGAAAGUCUGACGGAGCAACGCCGCGUGAGUGAUGAAGGUUUUCGGAUCGUAAAGCUCUGUUGUUAGGGAAGAACAAGUGCAAGAGUAACUGCUUGCACCUUGACGGUACCUAACCAGAAAGCCACGGCUAACUACGUGCCAGCAGCCGCGGUAAUACGUAGGUGGCAAGCGUUGUCCGGAAUUAUUGGGCGUAAAGGGCUCGCAGGCGGUUUCUUAAGUCUGAUGUGAAAGCCCCCGGCUCAACCGGGGAGGGUCAUUGGAAACUGGGAAACUUGAGUGCAGAAGAGGAGAGUGGAAUUCCACGUGUAGCGGUGAAAUGCGUAGAGAUGUG